UCAGACGAUGCGUCAUGCAUAUCAAUAAGCGGAGGAAAAGAAACUAACAAGGAUUCCCCUAGUAACGGCGAGUGAAGCGGGAAGAGCUCAAAUUUGAAAUCUUAAAGGGUUUCCCUUUACGAAUUGUAGUUUAAAGAAGUGUUUUCUGUUGAGGUUUUGGUAAAAGUUCUUUGGAAUAGGACAUCAUAGAGGGUGAGAAUCCCGUAUUUGACCUUUACUUUCAACUUUGUGAUACACUUUCAAAGAGUCGGAUUGUUUGGGAAUGCAGUCCAAAAUGGGUGGUAAAUUUCAUCUAAAGCUAAAUAUUGGCGAGAGACCGAUAGCGAACAAGUACCGUGAGGGAAAGAUGAAAAGAACUUUGAAAAGAGAGUUAAACAGUACGUGAAAUUGUCAAAAGGGAAGCGUUUGACACCAGUGUUGUUUUUCUGAAAAUCAAUUAAAGAACUGUUUAUGCUAAGCUGUUUAGACUUUAUCAGCUAUCUGUUUAGUUUUGAGCUUUUCUUUAAUGCACUUUUCAGUUAACAAGUCAACAUCAAUUUCUUUUGCUGUAAAAAAGCUUGAGGAAGGUGGCUUGAGAUUCGUCUUAAGUGUUUAUAGCCUCUUGCCUAUGCAGUCGGAGAGAUUGAGGUCUGCAGCGUAGAUCCUUCGGGGCUAAAUGCAUUUGUGCUAAGUUAUAGCAUUUUAUAGACAACUUGUUGACUAUGAUUUGUCUUGUAGCUUACUCGCUUAUGUUAUUUUACCUACGCUUAGGAUGUUUGAAUCUGUGCGAGACUAC
Molecule: ribosomal RNA, 775 nt
Filed under: uncultured Neocallimastigales
Lineage: Eukaryota; Fungi; Neocallimastigomycota; Neocallimastigomycetes; Neocallimastigales
Description: partial large subunit ribosomal RNA
Rfam family: Eukaryotic large subunit ribosomal RNA
Source: RNAcentral